Molecule: long non-coding RNA, 1387 nt
Organism: Mustela lutreola (European mink)
Lineage: Eukaryota; Metazoa; Chordata; Mammalia; Carnivora; Mustelidae
Exons: 7
Source: RefSeq, a predicted model, not a curated record
CACACACACACACACACAUAAUCUUAGCUCCUCCCCUUUGAAACAGCUGGUUCUCUCAUAAAUGAGUUCUGAAGCGUGGAAGUCGAAGAUCAAGACGCUGGCAGCGCUGUUUCUGAGGUAGGUGGGAAAGAACAGACUGAUGUUGGGAAACAUGGCUCUUACACCUAAAGUGCAUUGUCUUGUGGCCAAAGUAGUGAAGAAGGAGGACUUUGGCGGCAGCUGCACAGCUUUUGAUGCUGAAUUUUAGAUGCCCAUUAUAUACCCAAGAGGAAACAUGAAGCAGAGAGACAGAGAGAGCAAGAACACAAGCAGGGGGAGUCGGAGAGGGAGAAGCAGGCUUUCAGCCGGUGCAGGGCUUGAUCCCAGGAUGCUGGGAUCAUGACCUGAGCCGAAGGCAGAUGCCCAGCGACUGAGCCACCCAGAGAGAAUGAGAGAGCACGCAAAUAGUGGGGAGAAAGAGGGAGAAGAAGACUCCCCACCAAGCAGGGAGCCUGACGCCAGGCUCAGUCCCAGGACCCCAGGAUCAUGACCAGAGCUGAAGACAGACACCCAACCAUCUGAGCCACCCAGCAGAAACAAGAGCUAACACUUCUUGAGUGCCUACUAUGGACCAAGCAGAUAAACUGAAGAACAGAAAGUCACCCAGGGCCCACAGCUCAUCAGGGACACAGCCACGAUGUAAAUCCCAGCAGUGUAACCCCAAGCGUCUCCUUUGUACGGUGCUGAUUUUACCAUCUGCAAUUUGGCAAGAGAAACAGUCAGAUUUGGUCUUUUUGUUUCAUUUUAAUAUCAUAAUCAAGCAGAUGUCAUCAAAGAGUGUUAUUUUUUUUUCAGUCCUCAAUGUGCUGAAACCUCAGCACAUUAAAAAUUAGAGAAGUUUAUGUCAAUCAAGAGGCUCUUUUCUGCCCUCUCUCUCCUCCUCCUUCCGCGAGCUAAGAGGAGCAGAGGAAUUUCCAGAACCUGGUCAUUCUGUACAAAGGCGGACACCCAGCACAAAUGUGCUCGUGAACUGAAACUGCAACUAAGUGGUUACAUUUACAAAUCCAUAGGAGAGAAGAAAGGAUACAGUAUAGCAGUCUGAGAUUUCUUUUCAAGCCUGGGACUCAAAGGUCAACCAUGGGUAAUUAGGGAAAAAUUAUUACCCUGUUUUCAAAACAGAGAAACCAAAGGGACUGGAUUUGCCUUUACAACUUAAAACACAGCUGCUCAGCAUGACUCUCAUUCUGGUAGAAUAAAGAAAUUAAAUCCAACAAAUAAUUUUGUGUUUAAAAGUUGCUUGGAGAAGAAAUUGGGUUGGUUAAGGGCACAACAGAGCUCUCUGUAUUAUCUUUGUAAUUUCCUGUAAGUCUAUAAUUUUUCCAAAAUAAAUUUUUUUUAAGUUCCUUCA